AAGCUGCGCCGCAUUUCGAGUUGAUUGUGAAAGGGAAACCGGUGUAGGACGUGCGUGCACGCAAAACACUGAGGCCCCUGGUCGUCCAGAAAACACACAGAAGGAUAUGAUCUUACGGCUCGCCUCGAUGGGGGAAGAUUUUGUGCUGCCCCUCUAGGAUGUGAGGUGAUGAAACCUUAAGGACAGCUUGGUGUCCUCCCUGGCCUUCAACACUGCAGCAUGAUGUGUGCUGCAGCAGAGGCUGUCCUCCCAGGAUGCAGCAGGAGAGGCUGUCCUCCCAGGAUGCAGCAGGAGAGGCUGUCCUCCCAGGAUGCAGCAGGGCGUCACAGCAGAGAAUCCUGGGAUGUGAAAAGGAGUGACUCCAUCUUUUUCCUGUGGCUGUGAUGGCAGAACAAUUCUGAGUCAAGAAUCCUGAGACUCCAGAACUUUUGAAAGCAGUAGGUGGAUGCAGCAGGGCGUCACAGCAGAGAAUCUUGAGAUGUGAAGAGGAGUGACUCCAUCUUUUUCCUGAUAUGAUCUUACGGCUCGCCUCGAUGGGGGAAGAUUUUGUGCUGCCCCUCUUGGAUGUGAGGUGAUGAAACCUUAAGGACAGCUUGGUGUCCUCCCUGGCCUUCAACACUGCAGCAUGAUGUGUGCUGCAGCAGAGGCUGUCCUCCCAGGAUGCAGCAGGAGAGGCUGUCCUCCCAGGAUGCAGCAGGGCGUCACAGCAGAGAAUCCUGGGAUGUGAAGAAGAGUGACUCCAUCUUUUUCCUGUGGCUGUGAUGGCAGAACAAUCCUGAGUCAAGAAUCCUGAGACUCCAGAACUUUUGAAAGCAGUAGGUGUUUUGCAGGAUAGGCUGUCCUCCCAGGAUGCAGCAGGGCAUCACAGCAGAGAAUCCUGAGAUGUGAAGAGGAGUGACUCCAUCUUUUUCCUGCUUUCAGGACUGGGCUUGGAUCAGUACCAGAUCGCUGAGCUGGUCCUAGCAGAGCCACUUGUCAGCAGGACGGCCCUGUGCAGUGGGCUGAUCUCAGGACAACAGUCGCUAUAGAACAUCAGGUUUUGCUUUCACCUCUGCACUGCUGGUUGCAGAACGGUGUCAAUGAGGCCUGGCACAUUCACCAUGUCUAUUGGUUUAGAGAUGCAUCACUGUUUCCUCUAACCACCCCCACCAUCAGGAUAUGAUCUUACGGCUCGCCUCGAUGGGGGAAGAUUUUGUGCUGCCCCUCUUGGAUGUGAGGUGAUGAAACCUUAAGGACAGCUUGGUGUCCUCCCUGGCCUUCAACACUGCAGCAUGAUGUGUGCUGCAGCAGAGGCUGUCCUCCCAGGAUGCAGCAGGAGAGGCUGUCCUCCCAGGAUGCAGCAGGGCGUCACAGCAGAGAAUCCUGGGAUGUGAAGAGGAGUGACUCCAUCUUUUUCCUGUGGCUGUGAUGGCAGAACAAUCCUGAGUCAAGAAUCCUGAGACUCCAGAACUUUUGAAAGCAGUAGGUGUUUUGCAGGAGAGGCUGUCCUCCCAGGAUGCAGCAGGGCGUCACAGCAGAGAAUCCUGGGAUGUGAAGAGGAGUGACUCCAUCUUUUUCCUAUUGCUGCUCGACAAUGAUCUGGUGACAUCAUUGCACAUUGUGGCAAAUACCUUUGUACAGCUGUUGUGGUUGUGUACACUGCAAUAGAAUGUCUACUUAUUGAAAUAAACAACCAUUACUCUCA
This is a long non-coding RNA of Trematomus bernacchii (emerald rockcod), 1684 nucleotides long. RefSeq lists it as uncharacterized. The record is from RefSeq and is a predicted model, not a curated record. Lineage: Eukaryota; Metazoa; Chordata; Actinopteri; Perciformes; Nototheniidae. The transcript is spliced from 27 exons.